UUCCAAAACAAGUAUAAGUUUCCGCGCCUAACUUUAAUCGUUCAUCUUAUUUAAAAUUUUUUUAAUUAGUAUUUUUGUUAUUAUAAGAUGAUAAAACAUGAAUAAUAUUUUACUCGUAACUUAUGUUUUUAAUUUUUUUUAAAAAAAAUUCAAAUAAGACGGACAGUCAAAGUUGGACGCGGAAAACCAUAGCUGCACUUAAA
Oryza nivara is the source of this 203-nucleotide non-coding RNA. Lineage: Eukaryota; Viridiplantae; Streptophyta; Magnoliopsida; Poales; Poaceae. The record is from Rfam.